UAGAGUUUGAUCAUGGCUCAGGACGAACGCUGGCGGCGUGCCUAAUACAUGCAAGUCGAGCGGGCGCUGGGGGGAACUCUGGCGUCAGCGGCGGACGGGUGAGGAACACGUGAGUGACCUGGCUGGGGGCGGGGGAUAUCGGGCCGAAAGGCGCGGCAAUCCCGCAUACGCCCUGGUGGCGACGGCGCCAGGGGAAAGCGCGCGGAGGCGCGCACCCCCAGGGGGGCUCGCGGCCCAUUAGCUAGUUGGGGGGGUAAGGGCCUCCCAAGGCGACGAUGGGUAGCCGGCCUGAGAGGGUGGACGGCCACACUGGGACUGAGACACGGCCCAGACUCCUACGGGAGGCAGCAGUAGGGAAUCUUCCACAAUGGGCGCAAGCCUGAUGGAGCAACGCCGCGUGAGUGAAGACGGCCUUCGGGUUGUAAAGCUCUGUCGGUCGGGACGAGGAUCCGCGGGGGGCCGCGGGGGGGCCGGUACUGGCCGAGGAAGCCCCUGCAAACUACGUGCCAGCAGCCGCGGUAAGACGUAGGGGGCGAGCGUUGUCCGGAAUGACUGGGCGUAAAGGGCGUGUAGGCGGACCGGUACGUAGUGAUUUUAAGCCGUCGGCUCAGCCGGCGGAGGGUUACUAAACGGCGGGUCUGGAGGGCAGGAGAGGUGCGGGGAAUUCCUGGUGGAGCGGUGAAAUGCGUAGAGAUCAGGAAGAACACCGGUGGCGAAGGCGCCGCACUGGACUGACCCUGACGCUGAGGCGCGACAGCGUG
RNAcentral lists this ribosomal RNA (761 nucleotides) under uncultured Sulfobacillus sp. Its description in RNAcentral is "partial 16S ribosomal RNA". It matches the Rfam family "Bacterial small subunit ribosomal RNA", at positions 1 to 763 of the family's 1533-position model. The record is from RNAcentral. Lineage: Bacteria; Bacillati; Bacillota; Clostridia; Eubacteriales; Clostridiales Family XVII. Incertae Sedis.